This 68-nucleotide transfer RNA is filed under the name Marmota monax (woodchuck). Its description in RNAcentral is "tRNA.Val". The record is from RNAcentral. Lineage: Eukaryota; Metazoa; Chordata; Mammalia; Rodentia; Sciuridae.
GUUGUGGCUUAGUGGUAGAGUGCUUGCCUCACAUGUGUGAGGCACUGGGUUUGAUUCUCAGCACCACA